CGGAUCGCAGGCUGCAACCCGCCUGCGUGAAGUUGGAAUCGCUAGUAAUCGCGGAUCAGCAUGCCGCGGUGAAUACGUUCCCGGGCCUUGUACACACCGCCCGUCACACCAUGAGAGUCGGGAACACCCGAAGUCCGUAGUCUAACCGCAAGGGGACGCGGCCGAAGGUGGGUUCGAUAAUUGGGGUGAAGUCGUAACAAGGUAGC
This 206-nucleotide ribosomal RNA is filed under the name uncultured bacterium. RNAcentral describes it as "partial 16S ribosomal RNA". It matches the Rfam family "Bacterial small subunit ribosomal RNA", at positions 1294 to 1500 of the family's 1533-position model. The record is from RNAcentral.